RNAcentral lists this transfer RNA (76 nucleotides) under Bradinopyga cornuta. RNAcentral's name for it is "tRNA-Val". It matches the Rfam family "tRNA". Rfam says of the family: Transfer RNA (tRNA) molecules are approximately 80 nucleotides in length. Lineage: Eukaryota; Metazoa; Arthropoda; Insecta; Odonata; Libellulidae. The record is from RNAcentral.
AGUAAAACAAAUUAGAGCUUGUUAGAAAGCAUUUCAUUUACAUUGAAAAUUUAGCUGUGCGAUUCAGUUUAAUUUG